This 481-nucleotide ribosomal RNA is filed under the name uncultured bacterium. RNAcentral describes it as "bacterial SSU rRNA". It matches the Rfam family "Bacterial small subunit ribosomal RNA", at positions 8 to 518 of the family's 1533-position model. The record is from RNAcentral.
AGAGUUGAUCCUGGCUCAGAACGAACGCUGGCGGCAGGCUUAACACAUGCAAGUUGAACGGGAUUGGAAGGUAGCUUGCUAUUUUCAUGAGAGUAGCGCACUGGUGAGUAACACGUGGGAACGUACCUAUUGGUGGGGGACAACAGUUGGAAACGACUGCUAAUACCGCAUAAGCCCUGAGGGGGAAAGAUUUAUUGCCGAUAGAUCGGCCCGCGGAAGAUUAGGUAGUAGGUGGGGUAACGGCCUACCUAGCCGACGAUCUAUAGCUGGUCUAAGAGGACGAUCAGCCACAUUGGAACUGAGACACGGUCCAGACUCCUACGGGAGGCAGCAGCGAGGAAUAUUGGGCAAUGGAGGCAACUCUGACCCAGCCAUGCCCGCGUGAGUGAAGAAGGUUUUCGGAUUGUAAAGCUCUUUCAGAUGAGAAGAUGAUGACGGUAUCAUCAGAAGAAGCACCGGCUAACUUCGUGCCAGCCGCCGC